RNAcentral lists this ribosomal RNA (448 nucleotides) under uncultured organism. RNAcentral describes it as "partial 16S ribosomal RNA". It matches the Rfam family "Bacterial small subunit ribosomal RNA", at positions 332 to 797 of the family's 1533-position model. The record is from RNAcentral.
UACACUCCUACGGGAGGCAGCAGUGGGGAAUAUUGGACAAUGGGCGCAAGCCUGAUCCAGCCAUACCGCGUGAGUGAUGAAGGCCCUAGGGUUGUAAAGCUCUUUCACCGGUGAAGAUAAUGACGGUAACCGGAGAAGAAGCCCCGGCUAACUUCGUGCCAGCAGCCGCGGUAAUACGAAGGGGGCUAGCGUUGUUCGGAUUUACUGGGCGUAAAGCGCACGUAGGCGGACUAUUAAGUCAGGGGUGAAAUCCCGGGGCUCAACCCCGGAACUGCCUUUGAUACUGGUAGUCUUGAGUUCGAGAGAGGUGAGUGGAAUUCCGAGUGUAGAGGUGAAAUUCGUAGAUAUUCGGAGGAACACCAGUGGCGAAGGCGGCUCACUGGCUCGAUACUGACGCUGAGGUGCGAAAGCGUGGGGAGCAAACAGGAUUAGAAACCCCGGUAGUCCC